This 441-nucleotide ribosomal RNA is filed under the name uncultured bacterium. RNAcentral's name for it is "partial 16S ribosomal RNA". It matches the Rfam family "Bacterial small subunit ribosomal RNA", at positions 338 to 795 of the family's 1533-position model. The record is from RNAcentral.
CCUACGGGGGGCAGCAGUAGGGAAUAUUGGUUAAUGUGCGAAAGCGCGAACCAGCAACGCCGCGUGUGCGAUGACGGCCUUCGGGUUGUAAAGCACUUUUGCGAGGGAUGAGAAAGGACAGUACCUUUCGAAUAAGUCUCGGCUAACUACGUGCCAGCAGCCGCGGUAACACGUAGGAGACAAGCGUUAUCCGGAUUUACUGGGUGUAAAGCGCGUGCAGGCGGUUUGGUAAGUUGGAUGUGAAAGCUCCUGGCUUAACUGGGAGAGGUCGUUCAAUACUACCAGACUCGAGGAUGGAAGAGGAAAGUGGAAUUCCGGGUGUAGUGGUGAAAUGCGUAGAUAUCCGGAGGAACACCAGUGGCGAAAGCGGCUUUCUGGCCCAUUUCUGACGCUCAGACGCGAAAGCUAGGGUAGCAAACGGGAUUAGAUACCCGGGUAGUC